Molecule: ribosomal RNA, 253 nt
Filed under: uncultured bacterium
Lineage: Bacteria
Description: partial 16S ribosomal RNA
Rfam family: Bacterial small subunit ribosomal RNA
Source: RNAcentral
UACGUAGGGUGCGAGCGUUAUUCGGAAUUACUGGGCGUAAAGUGUGCGCAGGCGGCCUAGUAAGUCGGGUGUGAAAGCCCCGAGCUUAACUUGGGAAUUGCGCUCGAAACUACUUGGCUGGAGUGUGGCAGAGGAAGGUGGAAUUCCCGGUGUAGCGGUGAAAUGCGUAGAGAUCUGGAGGAACACCGAUGGCGAAGGCAGCCUUCUGGGCCAACACUGACGCUCAUGCACGAAAGCGUGGGGAGCAAACAGG